Molecule: long non-coding RNA, 1289 nt
Organism: Drosophila kikkawai
Lineage: Eukaryota; Metazoa; Arthropoda; Insecta; Diptera; Drosophilidae
Source: RefSeq, a predicted model, not a curated record
CAUUGUCAGUCGAGUUUAAUUCCGAUAUGUUUAAACUUUUGGGAAAUAGAUCGUAAAUCUUCCAGAAAUCUAUCCCCAAAUACAAAUCUUGCUUAAGCGACGGUACAAUGUAAAUUUUCAGUAGCUUCUUUACCUCGGCGUAUUCGACCUCAGCAUUAAAAUACCCUAUUAUUUGCUGUGAUCUGCCAUCUGCUGUUUUAGCAUGACUGUUUAUGGCUUUAUAAACCCCUUGGACUACUACCUCGCGAGCUAAGUUACCUCCUAGACAACUUAUUGAUGCGCCAGAGUCUAAAAGGCCGUAGACCGUACGAUCCAGAACGCGAAUUGGCAAAAACGGGCGAGGAUUUUUUGACCCAGCAGAAUGCUUUUAUUCUACUAGAACUUCGAGAUUUACGCUUUUCUAAGUCUUGGUGACCUUCACAUUCAGGUAUUAUUAUGUUCUUCAGUAUUUGGAUUUUGCUAUGUAGCAAAGGACUAGCAGGUAAUAGUUGUUCGUCAGGGAUUGAAAGUUGUGCAACGUCAGCUGCAUAUUCUACUCUUCUGUCAUUGUGGCUUGGCUCCGGAAGGCACUCGAAGUCUUCUGUUUGAAUUGCGACUUCGGCGUGCCGGCUUUGGAGUUUUUUGAACACUUACUGCAACUUGGCUUGUAAGUAUUGGCAGCUCCACAACCGUAACAGAAAACUCUCCUUUCAGAUACGCAAUCCUGAUAUCUGUGCCCUUCCUUACGGCAGUUCCAACAUAAUAAGGAAAACGCUUCGACAUCAUCCUCACAUUCAGGUUCUGAUUCUAAUUGAGUUUCAUAUUCCUGACUGAAUUCGGACACUUCCCGUUUAAAAGGAGUGCUUCGCAUGUAUCCACUGCAACGCUUGACGUCAGCAAGAAAGGCUUCGCGCCUGCGACAAAUCUCCCUUAAAUCGGACACUGUAUUUAUUUCAAUAUUUAGAAUUUCAUGUCUUAUUUCUGGACGCAAAUUAUUUCUAAGAACUCGAAUUAAUUUACUCGAAGUCCAAGGAUGCUCCAGCUGAUCGACUAAGCCAGAUAUUGUAUCGUAAAAACAAUCAAAAGACUCGUUUGGCUUUUGUUUUGUGUUACGAAUCAAUUCUUCGAUGUCGCCAUCAUCUCUUCUUUGGCGAAACUGGAGACGCAAGGCUGAACAAAAAGUGUCCCAAUCAAUCUCGCCGUUCGCUUUAUGAUAGCGCCAAUAAAAUUCAUUGGCAAAGCAGACUGAAAUUAUUGCCUAAUGUUUCUCGAGUAAGCGUAUCCACUCUAUAAAUAAAAUUAUCUACCGA